GCGUAAUGGAGGGAGGUAGAAGCACCAACCAAAAAGUGAAGAGUAUGCUCCUUCGACGUGAUGGAAGGAGACGGUAACCAACAGAGGAUCAAUAAAAUAGAGGGAGAUGGCCAUCGGUGGAGAGAUCAACAAUGUGAGGAGAUCUUGUUAAAUGGUAACGAGGAAAGAGAGCAAACCAACUAGAGGGGAUCAAUGAUUAGAGAUGAGCGGCAA
Molecule: long non-coding RNA, 213 nt
Filed under: Elaeis guineensis (African oil palm)
Lineage: Eukaryota; Viridiplantae; Streptophyta; Magnoliopsida; Arecales; Arecaceae
Description: long non-coding RNA (EGUI_LNC025981)
Source: RNAcentral